This 461-nucleotide ribosomal RNA is filed under the name uncultured Planctomycetota bacterium. RNAcentral's name for it is "bacterial SSU rRNA". It matches the Rfam family "Bacterial small subunit ribosomal RNA", at positions 338 to 795 of the family's 1533-position model. The record is from RNAcentral. Lineage: Bacteria; Pseudomonadati; Planctomycetota.
CCUACGGGUGGCUGCAGCAACGAAUCUUCCCCAAUGCCGGAAACGGUGAGGGAGCGACGCCGCGUGAAGGACGAAGUUCUUCGGAAUGUAAACUUCUGCAAGGGUCAUGAAAGGUGAGCGCCUAACAUGCGCAAAACUUGAUCUGAUCCCUAAAAGGGGCGGCUAACUCUGUGCCAGCAGCCGCGGUAAUACAGAGGCCCCAAGCGUUACUGAGAAUCACUGGGUUUAAAGGGUGCGUAGGUGGUCCGUUAAGUCAGUUGUGAAAGCCCUGGGCUCAACCCAGGAACUGCUUCUGAUACUGGCGGACUUGAGGCUAGUAUAGGUCACUGGAACUGACGGUGGAGCGGUGAAAUGCGUAGAUAUCGUCAGGAACGCCAAUGGUGAAGACAGGUGGCUGGGCUAGAUCUGACACUGAGGCACGAAAGCGUGGGGAGCGAACGGGAUUAGAUACCCCUGUAGUC